This is a small nucleolar RNA of Tachyglossus aculeatus (Australian echidna), 136 nucleotides long. Lineage: Eukaryota; Metazoa; Chordata; Mammalia; Monotremata; Tachyglossidae. The record is from RefSeq and is a predicted model, not a curated record.
CACCUCAGGGUCACGCCUGGAGAGUUUCCAGUAUUCUACCAGUCUCAGCUACGGGAGGGAAGGUCAAGCAAAGGCAGACCCAUUCCAUUCCUAGCUUGGCCAGUGGCUAGUGAGUGGAAGACAAUCUGCUACAAGU